AGUGGACUUCCAUGGAUUCAAAAAGACACUGCAAGAGGUGGAAAAGAGAACUCCCCCUUGUCUUCAAUUACAUCUUUCCUCUUGUCCCCUCUCUCACAUUUCAGUUUCCAGCCCAGACUGUAUAAAAGAGUCAGUCUGACCAAUUCCACUACUAGAGCUCCCAAUUUCUCUUCAUUUUAGAGAAAAUGAAGAGACAUCCUUUUGUAAAAUCCAUGUCUAAGUCCUUGCUCCUGGAGGAAGACAACUUCCUUCGGAAAGAGGCAGGGAAAGCCAGGUGCCCCAAGGGAUCAAAGUGGGAGGCAGAGGGAAGCCCUCAGUCUCUGCCCUCUAACUCAUCGGGGACCAAGCUCUGCUUCUCUGUGCCCCAUGUCUCUGAGCCCUGCCUCUGUGGGUGCAGCGUGAGGACCAAGGCAGUGCUACAUCCCCGGCCCUCUCCAGUUUCCCGCCCAACCUCUCAGGUACUCCCUAAAUUGUCAGUAGGGAGGAAGCAGCAGUCUCCUCCGGUGGUUAUCUUCAGGCCUCAACUCUCCCAGAGUUCUCCAGAGCCCAAGGCCAAGACCAAGGCCAAGGCCCAGCUGCUGUCUUGGGGUGGGUCAAGAAUUUCUUGCAAAGGCAAGUCACGCAAGCUGAUACCCAUGGGCGUGUGGCCCCAGGGAUUUCUUGACCCACUCGCCAAGUCCUUGCCAGGGGACUCACUGCACACUUUGUCCCCUGGGAAGGGAGCCAUCUCCCCAGCCAGGAAGCCACAUCCCCAAUGAUAUUACUUGUGCAGGGUGACAAAUGCCAGUCCUCUCUACCAUUCUUAUUUAAAUAAAAAUGUAUUUAGUCAA
Long non-coding RNA from Felis catus (domestic cat), 830 nucleotides. RefSeq lists it as uncharacterized. NCBI's taxonomy places the organism in Eukaryota, Metazoa, Chordata, Mammalia, Carnivora, Felidae. The record is from RefSeq and is a predicted model, not a curated record. The transcript is spliced from 3 exons.